AAUGACUCUCGRCAACGGAUAUCUCGGCUCUCGCAUYGAUGAAGAACGUAGCGAAAUGCGAUACUUGGUGUGAAUUGCAGAAUCCCGCGAACCAUCGAGUCUUUGAACGCAAGUUGCGCCCGAARCCAUCAGGCCGAGGGCACGUUGGUGGUGUCAAGCAAMG
This 163-nucleotide ribosomal RNA is filed under the name Copaifera mildbraedii. RNAcentral's name for it is "5.8S ribosomal RNA". It matches the Rfam family "5.8S ribosomal RNA". From Rfam's summary of the family: 5.8S ribosomal RNA (5.8S rRNA) is a component of the large subunit of the eukaryotic ribosome. It is transcribed by RNA polymerase I as part of the 45S precursor that also contains 18S and 28S rRNA. Functionally, it is thought that 5.8S rRNA may be involved in ribosome translocation. Lineage: Eukaryota; Viridiplantae; Streptophyta; Magnoliopsida; Fabales; Fabaceae. The record is from RNAcentral.